CACGAAGUUAGCCGGGGCUUCUUCUCACGCUACCGUCAUUAUCGUCGCGUGCGAAAGAGCUUUACAACCCUAAGGCCGUCAUCACUCACGCGGCAUGGCUGGAUCAGGCUUGCGCCCAUUGUCCAAUAUUCCCCACUGCUGCCUCCCGUAGGAAUCUGGGCCGUGUCUCAGUCCCAGUGUGGCUGAUCAUCCUCUCAGACCAGCUACUGAUCGUCGCCUUGGUAGGCCAUUACCCUACCAACCAGCUAAUCAGACGCGGGCCGAUCCUUCAGCGAUAAAUCUUUCCCCUUGCGGGCGUAUCCGGUAUUAGCCCAAGUUUCCCUGGGUUAUUCCAAACUGAAGGGCACGUUCCCACGCGUUACUCACCCGUCUGCCACUCACCCCGAAGGAUGCGUUCGACUUGCAUGUGUUAAGCCUGCCGCCAGCGUUCGUUCUGAGCCAGGAUCAAAC
Molecule: ribosomal RNA, 450 nt
Filed under: uncultured Hyphomicrobiales bacterium
Lineage: Bacteria; Pseudomonadati; Pseudomonadota; Alphaproteobacteria; Hyphomicrobiales
Description: uncultured Rhizobiales bacterium partial 16S ribosomal RNA
Source: RNAcentral